RNAcentral lists this ribosomal RNA (253 nucleotides) under uncultured bacterium. RNAcentral describes it as "partial 16S ribosomal RNA". It matches the Rfam family "Bacterial small subunit ribosomal RNA", at positions 524 to 776 of the family's 1533-position model. The record is from RNAcentral.
UACGUAGGUGACAAGCGUUGUCCGGAUUUACUGGGCGUAAAGAGCGCGCAGGCGGUCGUUCAAGUCGAGUGUGAAAGCCCCCGGCUCAACUGGGGAGGGUCACUCGAUACUGAUCGACUCGAAGGCAGGAGAGGGUAGUGGAAUUCCCGGUGUAGUGGUGAAAUGCGUAGAUAUCGGGAGGAACACCAGUGGCGAAGGCGGCUAUCUGGACGGUUUCUGACGCUAAGACGCGAAAGCGUGGGGAGCAAACAGG